RNAcentral lists this ribosomal RNA (861 nucleotides) under uncultured bacterium. RNAcentral describes it as "bacterial SSU rRNA". It matches the Rfam family "Bacterial small subunit ribosomal RNA", at positions 8 to 879 of the family's 1533-position model. The record is from RNAcentral.
AGAGUUUGAUCAUGGCUCAGGACGAACGCUGGCGGCGCGCCUAACACAUGCAAGUCGAACGGAGUUAAGAGGAGCUUGCUUUUCUUGACUUAGUGGCGAACGGGUGAGUAACGCGUGAGUAACCUGCCUCAGAGUGGGGGACAACAGUUGGAAACGACUGCUAAUACCGCAUAAGACCACGGGGUCGCAUGGCCCUGAGGUAAAAGGAUUUAUUCGCUUUGAGAUGGACUCGCGUCCAAUUAGCUAGUUGGUGAGGUAACGGCCCACCAAGGCGACGAUUGGUAGCCGGACUGAGAGGUUGAACGGCCACAUUGGGACUGAGACACGGCCCAGACUCCUACGGGAGGCAGCAGUGGGGGAUAUUGCACAAUGGGGGAAACCCUGAUGCAGCGACGCCGCGUGGAGGAAGAAGGUUUUCGGAUUGUAAACUCCUGUCGUAAGGGACGAUAAUGACGGUACCUUACAAGAAAGCCACGGCUAACUACGUGCCAGCAGCCGCGGUAAAACGUAGGUGGCAAGCGUUGUCCGGAAUUACUGGGUGUAAAGGGAGCGCAGGCGGACCGGCAAGUUGGAAGUGAAAACUAUGGGCUCAACCCAUAAACUGCUUUCAAAACUGCUGGCCUUGAGUAGUGCAGAGGUAGGCGGAAUUCCCGGUGUAGCGGUGGAAUGCGUAGAUAUCGGGAGGAACACCAGUGGCGAAGGCGGCCUACUGGGCACCAACUGACGCUGAGGCUCGAAAGUGUGGGUAGCAAACAGGAUUAGAUACCCUGGUAGUCCACACCGUAAACGAUGAUUACUAGGUGUUGGAGGAUUGACCCCUUCAGUGCCGCAGUUCACACACAUAAGUCAUCCACCUGGGGA